RNAcentral lists this ribosomal RNA (355 nucleotides) under uncultured thermophilic aerobic biofilm eubacterium SCBP-F13. Its description in RNAcentral is "bacterial SSU rRNA". It matches the Rfam family "Bacterial small subunit ribosomal RNA", at positions 287 to 659 of the family's 1533-position model. The record is from RNAcentral.
CCGGUCUGAGAGGAUGGCCGCCACAAGGGCACUGAGAGACGGGCCCUACUCCUACGGGAGGCAGCAGUGGGGGAUUUUGGACAAUGGGCGAAAGCUGGAUCCAGCGACGGCGCGUGGAGGACGAAGGCCUUCGGGGUGUAAACUCCUUUUCUCAGGGAAAAAAGCUGAUGGUACCUGAGGAAUAAGCCCCGGCUAACUACGUGCCAGCAGCCGCGGUAAUACGUAGGGGGCGAGCGUUACCCCGAAUUACUGGGCGUAAAGGGUGCGUAGGCGGCCUUACAAGUCCCGUGUUAAAAGCCCUGGCUCAACUAGGGGGAUGCGCUGGAAACUGUGAGGCUUUGGUGCAGCAGAGGCA